GUUACUUGUGAGAGGCUGAGGUCUCCAUUCCAUGAAAUUACACGAGGUAUGAAAAGGAAGCUCACUUCACAAAACAGAGAUGGUGAGCCUUGUGACAGAAAUGAAGUGAGUGUAUGUUAUGCAAUUGAAGAAAUGGCCUUCUGCAGGCUGUCAGUGACAGAUACCAGCUCACUCACAUCGAUAAAGCUCAAUUAGCUGCUGGAGAAAGCGUCUUUUUAAAAUGUAAUGAGCUGCACCUUGGAAGAAGGGUAGACAAAUGUUAGACAUAAACAAAAUAAAACCUUAAUGUGAACAAGUAAGAAUACCAUGGCAGCCAUGAUAAAAUCUUUUUUCUUUUAUUCUGUGCUUUUUAUUACUUUGUGCUUUUGUUAUAUAAAGACUCUUUAUUAAUCUGUUGAAAAAGAUACUUUUUUUUU
Molecule: long non-coding RNA, 416 nt
Organism: Lagopus muta (rock ptarmigan)
Lineage: Eukaryota; Metazoa; Chordata; Aves; Galliformes; Phasianidae
Exons: 3
Source: RefSeq, a predicted model, not a curated record